CAUUUACAGGACCGGGGCAACUCAAAAUCGCACGAGGCCCCUGCCUUCCACGCACCCCCCCUCCCGGAAAUUUGGUCGUGCGCCGGCAAAAGCGGGGGCUUCAAACAAGGCUGAGUGCCGUGGCUUAGUCCCCCCCAUAAACGAAGAAUUUUGAACAUUGGCGAAACCAUGUCCAGUUUCUGAGGGAAAGCAAUACGUUAUCCCCUUGGGAAGGUCGACCGCCCGGGGUGAACUUCAAAGGAAUUGGCGGGGGUUCGGCCUAGGCGGUGAGGCAUGGGGCUUAAUUCGAUGAUCCGCGGGGGACCUUACCCGCGGCUAGAAUCCAUUUUGCCCGUGGGGGAAAGGUCCAUUGGUAGCAAUACACAAUUUUUAAGGUGCUGCAUGGCUGUCGUCAGCUCGUGCCGUGAGGUGUUGGGUUAAGUCCAGCAACGAGCGCAACCCCUAUCAGUAGUUGCCAUCAGGUAAUGCUGGGAACUCUACUGAAACUGCCGUCGUAAGACGUGAGGAAGGAGGGGAUGAUGUCAAGUCAUCAUGGCCUUUAUGCCCAGGGCUACACACGUGCUACAAUGGGUGCGACAAAGGGCUGCCACUUGGUAACAAGGCGCUAAUCCCAAAAACGCACUCUCAGUUCGGAUUGCAGGCUGCAACUCGCCUGCAUGAAGCUGGAAUCGCUAGUAAUCGUAGAUCAGCAACGCUACGGUGAAUACGUUCCCGGACCUUGCACACACCGCCCGUCCAGCCAUGGAAGCCGGGUGUACCUAAAGUCGGUAACCGCAAGGAGCUGCCUAGGGUAAAAUCGGUGACUGGGGCUAAGUCGUAACAAGGUAAGUCCA
RNAcentral lists this ribosomal RNA (833 nucleotides) under uncultured Flavobacteriales bacterium. Its description in RNAcentral is "bacterial SSU rRNA". It matches the Rfam family "Bacterial small subunit ribosomal RNA", at positions 613 to 1504 of the family's 1533-position model. Lineage: Bacteria; Pseudomonadati; Bacteroidota; Flavobacteriia; Flavobacteriales. The record is from RNAcentral.